GUUCAGAUUGCAGGCUGCAACCCGCCUGCAUGAAGUCGGAAUUGCUAGUAAUCGCGGAUCAGCAUGCCGCGGUGAAUACGUUCCCGGGCCUUGUACACACCGCCCGUCACACCAUGGGAGCCGGUAAUACCCGAAGUCAGUAGUCCAACCUCGUGAGGACGCUGCCGAAGGUAGGAUUAGCGACUGGGGUGAAGUCGUAACAAGGUAUC
This 209-nucleotide ribosomal RNA is filed under the name uncultured bacterium. Its description in RNAcentral is "partial 16S ribosomal RNA". It matches the Rfam family "Bacterial small subunit ribosomal RNA", at positions 1291 to 1500 of the family's 1533-position model. The record is from RNAcentral.